Molecule: long non-coding RNA, 636 nt
Filed under: Phoenix dactylifera (date palm)
Lineage: Eukaryota; Viridiplantae; Streptophyta; Magnoliopsida; Arecales; Arecaceae
Description: long non-coding RNA (PDAC_LNC020229)
Source: RNAcentral
CGUUCCUCAGACAAAUUCAAGUAUUUUCUAUGCCCAAAAGUAGCAGAAAGCCUCAGCUGUAGUUAGCAGUGAAUUCACACCGAAAUAUGGAAUUUCACUUGUAUUAAGGGUCCUUUAGUUGUCCUUUAGUUAGAUGCAUGAUCUAGAUUAAAAGUUGUAUAAGGUUAAUAUUAUUUAUAGUCCAUUUGUAUAGUUCGCAGAAGGUUGUAAAGAUAGGUUUGACUUUUCAUAAUUAUGAAGAAAUGAUUUAGCUUGGUGUAUUCCACAAUCUCCCUUCUCUCCUUCUAAAUCUCUCUUCUGAAUUCUCUUUUAUCCAUAUUUUUCUCUUCUUAAAUUUUCUACAGGCUUUCUACACUUUCAGUGCUGUAUCAAGCUCGACUCCAUGACAACCCUGCCCGAACCCAUGUAACAUAGCUUUCAGCAUAUAGCAACAGAACAAAAUUACCAAGAAGUUUCAUAUAAUAUUCUGAUGGCUCUAUAAGUUCAUCUUACUGGUGAAAUUUGAAUGGAUUGCAAAAGAACAAGCAAUUAUAAAUAUGAACGAAAACCAUGACGAUGAUAUCAACUGAAAAUAGAUUCCAGGCAUUAUAUCAAACUAUAUAGUAAUUUGGUUGUGACUCUAACUUCCUUGUCAGG